This 183-nucleotide ribosomal RNA is filed under the name Oreochromis niloticus (Nile tilapia). RNAcentral's name for it is "partial small subunit ribosomal RNA". The record is from RNAcentral. Lineage: Eukaryota; Metazoa; Chordata; Actinopteri; Cichliformes; Cichlidae.
ACGAGAGGCUCAAGUUGACGGACAUCGGCGUAAAGAGUGGUUAGGAAGUCUUUCAAACUAAAGCCGAACGCCCUCAGAACUGUUAUACGUACCCGAGGGUAAGAAGCCCCCCUACGAAAGUGGCUUUAUAUCUCCGACCCCACGAAAGCUGCGAAACAAACUGGGAUUAGAUACCCCACUAUG